Molecule: transfer RNA, 69 nt
Filed under: Cutibacterium avidum
Lineage: Bacteria; Bacillati; Actinomycetota; Actinomycetes; Propionibacteriales; Propionibacteriaceae
Description: tRNA-Ser
Source: RNAcentral
CGGUGUCGAAGUGACGGAAUUGCCUGCUUUGGGAGCAGGAGACCGCAGGUUCGAGUCCUGUCGCCCCGA